Molecule: ribosomal RNA, 449 nt
Filed under: uncultured bacterium
Lineage: Bacteria
Description: partial 16S ribosomal RNA
Rfam family: Bacterial small subunit ribosomal RNA
Source: RNAcentral
AACGAACGCUGGCGGCAUGCCUAACACAUGCAAGUCGAACGAGAUCUUCGGGUCUAGUGGCGCACGGGUGUGUAACGCGUGGGAAUCUGCCCUUUGGUUCGGAAUAACAGUUGGAAACGACUGCUAAUACCGGAUGAUGACGAAAGUCCAAAGAUUUAUCGCCAGAGGAUGAGCCCGCGUAGGAUUAGCUAGUUGGUGUGGUAAAGGCGCACCAAGGCGACGAUCCUUAGCUGGUCUGAGAGGAUGAUCAGCCACACUGGGACUGAGACACGGCCCAGACUCCUACGGGAGGCAGCAGUGGGGAAUAUUGGACAGUGGGCGAAAGCCUGAUCCAGCAAUGCCGCGUGAGUGAUGAAGGCCUUAGGGUUGUAAAGCUCUUUUACCCGGGAUGAUAAUGACAGUACCGGGAGAAUAAGCUCCGGCUAACUCCGUGCCAGCCGCCGCAGUAA